This 370-nucleotide ribosomal RNA is filed under the name uncultured cyanobacterium. RNAcentral describes it as "bacterial SSU rRNA". It matches the Rfam family "Bacterial small subunit ribosomal RNA", at positions 376 to 761 of the family's 1533-position model. The record is from RNAcentral. Lineage: Bacteria; Bacillati; Cyanobacteriota.
CGAAAGCCUGACGGAGCAAUACCGCGUGGAGGAAGAAAGCCUAUGGGUUGUAAACUCCUUUUCUCGGAGAAGAAUACUGACGGUAUCCGAGGAAUAAGCAUCGGCAAAAAUCUGUGCCAGCAGCCGCGGUAAGACAGGUGAUGCAAGUGUUAUCCGGAAUGAUUGGGCGUAAAGCGUCUGUAGGUGGUUUAUCCAGUCUGUUGUUAAAACUUAGGGCUUAACCCUAAUCCGGCAACAGAAACUAAUAGACUAGAGUACGGUAGGGGCAGAGGGAAUUCUCGGUGUAGUGGUGAAAUACGUAGAUAUCGAGAAGAACACCAAUAGCGAAAGCACUCUGCUGGGCCGAAACUGACAUUCAGAGACGAAAGCU